CGAGGCGAACCGGGGAAACUGAAACAUCUCAGUACCCCGAGGAAAAGAAAUCAACCGAGAUUCCCCCAGUAGCGGCGAGCGAACGGGGUGCAGCCCAGAGUCAACAUCAAUAUUUACCACAGGAGAAGGGUCUGGAAAGGCCGGCAAUAAAGGGUGAUAGCCCCGUAUCUAAAGCGGUAAGUGUUGUGAACUCGAAGAGUAGGGCGGGACACGUGUUAUCCUGUCUGAAUAUGGGGGGACCAUCCUCCAAGGCUAAAUACUCCUGACUGACCGAUAGUGAACCAGUACCGUGAGGGAAAGGCGAAAAGAACCCCGGCGAGGGGAGUGAAAUAGAGCCUAAAACCGUGUACGUACAAGCAGUAGGAGCACCCGAAAGGGUGUGACUGCGUACCUUUUGUAUAAUGGGUCAGCGACUUAUAUUCUGUAGCAAGGUUAACCGCAUAGGGGAGCCGUAGGGAAACCGAGUCUUAACUGGGCGUUAAGUUGCAGGGUAUAGACCCGAAACCCGGUGAUCUAGCCAUGAGCAGGUUGAAG
This 534-nucleotide ribosomal RNA is filed under the name Arsenophonus endosymbiont of Bemisia tabaci. RNAcentral's name for it is "partial 23S ribosomal RNA". It matches the Rfam family "Bacterial large subunit ribosomal RNA", at positions 175 to 750 of the family's 2925-position model. The record is from RNAcentral. Lineage: Bacteria; Pseudomonadati; Pseudomonadota; Gammaproteobacteria; Enterobacterales; Morganellaceae.